GUGUGUGCGUGCGUGUGUGCGUGUGUGUGUGUGUGCGCGUGUGUGUGUGCGUGCGCACACACACACACACACACACACACACAG
This is a non-coding RNA of Podarcis lilfordi (Lilford's wall lizard), 84 nucleotides long. The record is from the annotation of a GenBank genome assembly. Lineage: Eukaryota; Metazoa; Chordata; Lepidosauria; Squamata; Lacertidae.